Molecule: ribosomal RNA, 403 nt
Filed under: Fusobacteriota bacterium
Lineage: Bacteria; Fusobacteriati; Fusobacteriota
Description: Fusobacteria bacterium partial 16S ribosomal RNA
Rfam family: Bacterial small subunit ribosomal RNA
Source: RNAcentral
UGGGGAAUAUUGCACAAUGGAGGGAACUCUGAUGCAGCGACGCCGCGCGAACGAAGAAGGCUUUCGAGUCGUAAAGUUCUUUUAUAUGGGAAGAUAAUGACGGUACCAUAAGAAAAAGCCCCGGCUAACUACUUUCCAGCAGCCGCGGUAAUACGUAGGGGGCUAGCGUUGUCCGGAAUCACUGGGCGUAAAGGGUUCGCAGGCGGAAAUGCAAGUCAGGUGUAAAAGGCAGUAGCUUAACUACUGUAAGCAUUUGAAACUGCAUAUCUUGAGAAGAGUAGAGGUAAGUGGAAUUUUUAGUGUAGCGGUGAAAUGCGUAGAUAUUAAAAAGAAUACCGGUGGCGAAGGCGACUUACUGGGCUCAUUCUGACGCUGAGGAACGAAAGCGUGGGUAGCAAACAGG